Molecule: ribosomal RNA, 252 nt
Filed under: uncultured bacterium
Lineage: Bacteria
Description: partial 16S ribosomal RNA
Rfam family: Bacterial small subunit ribosomal RNA
Source: RNAcentral
UACAUAGGUGGCGAGCGUUAUCCGGAUUUAUUGGGCGUAAAGAGUGCACAGGUGGUUUAUCAAGUCAGUUGUUAAAGCCCGGGGCUCAACCCCGGUUCGCAAUUGAAACUGAUAGACUAGAUUAUUGGUGGGGAUAGUAGAAUUCCAUGUGUAGCGGUGGAAUGCAUAAAUAUAUGGAGGAAUACCAGUGGCGAAGGCGGCUAUCUGAACAAUUAAUGACACUUAAGCACGAAAGCGUGGGGAGCAAAUAGG